GAUUUCUGGCCUGAAACAUUGAGCCAGCCGCCGUUUGGUGUGUUAGUGCUUUUUGUUCUGGCCAUCCUUCCUAUCGCUAUUUGCCUUUCUUCAUUGAUUGGUAAGUGGUAUAGGAUCUUUUACUUUGAAAAAAUUAGAGUGUUUCAAGCAGGCUUUAUGCUAUGAAUACAUUAGCAUGGAAUAAUAAUUUAGGACUUCGGUUCUAUUUUGUUGGUUUCUAGGACUGAAGUAAUGAUUGAUAGGGACAGUUGGGGGUGCUAGUAUUCAGCGGCCAGAGGUGAAAUUCUCGGAUUCGCUGAAGACUAACUUAUGCGAAAGCAUU
RNAcentral lists this ribosomal RNA (322 nucleotides) under uncultured Flectomonas. RNAcentral's name for it is "SSU rRNA". It matches the Rfam family "Eukaryotic small subunit ribosomal RNA", at positions 634 to 955 of the family's 1831-position model. The record is from RNAcentral. Lineage: Eukaryota; Cercozoa; Glissomonadida.